RNAcentral lists this ribosomal RNA (253 nucleotides) under uncultured bacterium. RNAcentral's name for it is "partial 16S ribosomal RNA". It matches the Rfam family "Bacterial small subunit ribosomal RNA", at positions 524 to 776 of the family's 1533-position model. The record is from RNAcentral.
UACGUAGGGUGCGAGCGUUAAUCGGAAUUACUGGGCGUAAAGCGCACGUAGGCGGAUAUUUAAGUCAGGGGUGAAAUCCCGGGGCUCAACCCCGGAACUGCCUCUGAUACUGGGUAUCUUGAGUGUGGUAGAGGUAAGUGGAAUUGCGAGUGUAGAGGUGAAAUUCGUAGAUAUUCGCAGGAACACCAGUGGCGAAGGCGGCUUACUGGACCACAACUGACGCUGAGGUGCGAAAGCGUGGGGAGCAAACAGG